Molecule: long non-coding RNA, 1370 nt
Filed under: Naja naja (Indian cobra)
Lineage: Eukaryota; Metazoa; Chordata; Lepidosauria; Squamata; Elapidae
Description: lncRNA (ENSNNAG00000014918.1)
Source: RNAcentral
GGCUGCUGGCCUGAUGGAGCUUGGUUACAUUGACUUUGCUGUGGGGGGAGAGAGAGAGAGAGAGUGGCAUGACAUCACUGGGUGGUGUUCCAGGAGCCCCACGCCAGAUGGACAGUGGUGGAGGACCAGGGCCCUCUGUGUCUCUGCAGUGUGUGUGUGUGUGUGUGUGUGUGUGUGUGUGAGAGAGAGAGAGAGAGAGAGAGAGAGAUGGCUAUCUACCUUCUGCUGGGCUUGUCCAAGGUAUAGUGGGGGGUUGCUGCAGUUUAUGGAUCAUUUGGCCUGCUGGAAAGUUGAUUUAAAUGUAUUGUGUGUGUGAAAAGCUUUGCAAACUUGGAAAUCGGCUGUUUUGUUAGCAGUCCUUGUAGAAACAUGGCCUGGGAAGGGAGAGCAUUUUAAAGUAGAAGUAAAUGUCAUACAGCAAGUCCUUGACUUAUGACCACAGUUGAGCCGGAAAAUACCUGUUGCUUAAGCGAGAGACAUAUAUAAAGUGCAUUUUGUCCCAUUUUACCACCUUCCUUGCCACAUUUGUUAAGUGAAUUACUGCAGCCUUUAAGUUAGUCCCACGGUCAUUAAGUGAAUCUGGCUUCCUUGUCAACCUUGUCAGAAGGUCGCCAAAGGGGAUGACAUAACCCCGGGGACUCUGCAACUGUCAUAAAUAUGAGUCUGUUGCUGAGCGUCUGAAUUCUGAUCAGGGGACCCUGGAGAUGUAGAAGUGUGAAAAAUGGCCUUACUUUUUCCAGUGCCAUGGGUAACUGUGAGCGGCCACUAAACGAACCGUCGUAAUUCAAGGACUACCUGUAAUAAUUUGCUUCCUGGGUGCCGGGUGUCUGAGAAAAGGUUUUGGAGCCGAGACCCUGUGGAAGCAUCCGGGAGGGUGAAACUGCCAGCAGCUUGUAAAAUACCCAGCCUCCUUUUUGAAUUUAAAAAUAAAAACACCAGCCAUUCAUACUCGGUUUCUGGUUUCUCUGCAUGUGAUUUGCAUUUCUUUGUGCAGAUCUGGUACUUGGGGAAAAACCAUUCCUGCAAUGGUUGAAUUUUAUUUUAUUUGCAAGGUUUUGUGAGGUUUUUUUUUUGGAUUUUUAAAAAAUUGGUCAAAAAUCAAGGUUUUUCUUUUAACUGUCCUGGGUGCCCGAUUUAACCUUUGCUCCCUAAAGCAUCACUUUGAAGGAAAAUGGGCUUGGGGGCUUUUAAUUUAACUCUUUGGUAGAGCCGGAAAUGGUUUGGCCCUUUCUUGUUCUCUCAUUUGGCUCUGCAGUUUUGGCAGAAAGCUGCCCCUCCUUCACCAGGUUCCUCGCUUUGGAAUCUGGCCCUUAUUUCCUCUGAUCUUUUCACUGGGUUGGACAUUGAUUUGCAGACCUGAUGCCAACUGA